CCUACGGGUGGCUGCAGUGAGGAAUAUUGGUCAAUGGGCGCGAGCCUGAACCAGCCAAGUAGCGUGAAGGAUGACUGCCCUACGGGUUGUAAACUUCUUUUAUAAAGGAAUAAAGUGAGGCACGUGUGCCUUUUUGUAUGUACUUUAUGAAUAAGGAUCGGCUAACUCCGUGCCAGCAGCCGCGGGAAUCCGGAGGAUCCGAGCGUUAUCCGGAUUUAUUGGGUUUAAAGGGAGCGUAGGUGGGUUGUUAAGUCAGUUGUGAAAGUUUGCGGCUCAAACGUAAAAUUUCAAUGGAUACUGGCAGGCUUGAGUACAGUUGAGGUAGGCGGAAUUCGUGGUGUAGCGGUGAAAUGCUUAGAUAUCACGAAGAACUCCGAGUGCGAAGGCAGACUACUAAACUGCCACUGACAUUGAUGCUCGAAAGUGUGGGUAUCAAACAGGAUUAGAUACCCCUGGUAGUC
This 461-nucleotide ribosomal RNA is filed under the name uncultured bacterium. RNAcentral's name for it is "partial 16S ribosomal RNA". It matches the Rfam family "Bacterial small subunit ribosomal RNA", at positions 338 to 795 of the family's 1533-position model. The record is from RNAcentral.